RNAcentral lists this ribosomal RNA (527 nucleotides) under Diaprepes sp. 1 AMV2011a. RNAcentral's name for it is "partial 12S ribosomal RNA". The record is from RNAcentral. Lineage: Eukaryota; Metazoa; Arthropoda; Insecta; Coleoptera; Curculionidae.
GGUUACACUUAUAAUGCAAUAAAAAAGGGUUCGGUAAUUAAUUAAUAAGUAUAUAUGAAUAUAUCUUUAGUUUUAUUGGGUGAAAUUUUUAAGAUUGAAGUUUAUUUAUAUUAAUUUUAUGAGGUUAAUAAGUUUAGGUAUUAGACUAGGAUUAGAUACCCUAUUAUUCUAAAUGUAAAUUUAGGUUACUUGGUUAGUAGUAGUUAUGGUCUUGAAAAUUAAAGAAGUUGGCGGUAUUUUAGUCUAUUCAGAGGAACCUGUCCUGUAAUCGAUGGUCCACGAUUUUUUUUACUUAUUUUAUUAGUUUGCAUAUCGCCGUAGAUGGAACAUUUUUAAAAAAGGGAAAUGUUCAAUAAUUUUUUAAGAAAAGAAUUCAGGUCAAGAUGUAGUUUAUAGAUAAGAAGAGAUGGGUUACAAUAAAUUUAUUUAGGCGGAUUGAUAUUUGAAAUUUUAUUAUAAAGACGGAUUUGAGGGUAAUUUUAUUUAAAUUAAUAAGAUGAUUUUAGCUCUAAAAUAUGUACAUAUCG